Molecule: ribosomal RNA, 405 nt
Filed under: uncultured bacterium
Lineage: Bacteria
Description: partial 16S ribosomal RNA
Rfam family: Bacterial small subunit ribosomal RNA
Source: RNAcentral
GAUGAACGCUGGCGGCGUGCCUAAUACAUGCAAGUCGAGCGAAGCGGGCACGGGUGAGUAACACGUGGAGAACCUGCUAUAAGACUGGGGUAACCUCGUGGAACCGGAGCCAAACCCGCAACUUAUAGAUGGUUGCAUGCUGCAUUAGCUAGUUGGUAAGGUAACGGCUUACCAAGGCAACGAUGCAUAGCCGACCUGAGAGGGUGAUCGGCCACACUGGAACUGAGAAACGGUCCAGACUCCUACGGGAGGCAGCAGUAGGGAAUAUUCCACAAUGGGCGAAAGCCUGACGGAGCCACGCCGCGUGAGUGAUGAAGGUCUUCGGAUUGUAAAACUCUUUUAUUAGGGAAGCGGUACCUAAUCAGAAAGCAACGGCUAACUACGUGCCAGCAGCCGCGGUAAUAC